Molecule: ribosomal RNA, 1375 nt
Filed under: Klebsiella pneumoniae
Lineage: Bacteria; Pseudomonadati; Pseudomonadota; Gammaproteobacteria; Enterobacterales; Enterobacteriaceae
Description: bacterial SSU rRNA
Rfam family: Bacterial small subunit ribosomal RNA
Source: RNAcentral
UAGCACAGAGAGCUUGCUCUCGGGUGACGAGCGGCGGACGGGUGAGUAAUGUCUGGGAAACUGCCUGAUGGAGGGGGAUAACUACUGGAAACGGUAGCUAAUACCGCAUAAUGUCGCAAGACCAAAGUGGGGGACCUUCGGGCCUCAUGCCAUCAGAUGUGCCCAGAUGGGAUUAGCUAGUAGGUGGGGUAACGGCUCACCUAGGCGACGAUCCCUAGCUGGUCUGAGAGGAUGACCAGCCACACUGGAACUGAGACACGGUCCAGACUCCUACGGGAGGCAGCAGUGGGGAAUAUUGCACAAUGGGCGCAAGCCUGAUGCAGCCAUGCCGCGUGUGUGAAGAAGGCCUUCGGGUUGUAAAGCACUUUCAGCGGGGAGGAAGGCGUUAAGGUUAAUAACCUUGGCGAUUGACGUUACCCGCAGAAGAAGCACCGGCUAACUCCGUGCCAGCAGCCGCGGUAAUACGGAGGGUGCAAGCGUUAAUCGGAAUUACUGGGCGUAAAGCGCACGCAGGCGGUCUGUCAAGUCGGAUGUGAAAUCCCCGGGCUCAACCUGGGAACUGCAUUCGAAACUGGCAGGCUAGAGUCUUGUAGAGGGGGGUAGAAUUCCAGGUGUAGCGGUGAAAUGCGUAGAGAUCUGGAGGAAUACCGGUGGCGAAGGCGGCCCCCUGGACAAAGACUGACGCUCAGGUGCGAAAGCGUGGGGAGCAAACAGGAUUAGAUACCCUGGUAGUCCACGCCGUAAACGAUGUCGAUUUGGAGGUUGUGCCCUUGAGGCGUGGCUUCCGGAGCUAACGCGUUAAAUCGACCGCCUGGGGAGUACGGCCGCAAGGUUAAAACUCAAAUGAAUUGACGGGGGCCCGCACAAGCGGUGGAGCAUGUGGUUUAAUUCGAUGCAACGCGAAGAACCUUACCUGGUCUUGACAUCCACAGAACUUAGCAGAGAUGGUUUGGUGCCUUCGGGAACUGUGAGACAGGUGCUGCAUGGCUGUCGUCAGCUCGUGUUGUGAAAUGUUGGGUUAAGUCCCGCAACGAGCGCAACCCUUAUCCUUUGUUGCCAGCGGUUAGGCCGGGAACUCAAAGGAGACUGCCAGUGAUAAACUGGAGGAAGGUGGGGAUGACGUCAAGUCAUCAUGGCCCUUACGACCAGGGCUACACACGUGCUACAAUGGCAUAUACAAAGAGAAGCGACCUCGCGAGAGCAAGCGGACCUCAUAAAGUAUGUCGUAGUCCGGAUUGGAGUCUGCAACUCGACUCCAUGAAGUCGGAAUCGCUAGUAAUCGUAGAUCAGAAUGCUACGGUGAAUACGUUCCCGGGCCUUGUACACACCGCCCGUCACACCAUGGGAGUGGGUUGCAAAAGAAGUAGGUAGCUUA